This 7271-nucleotide long non-coding RNA is filed under the name Lactuca sativa (garden lettuce). RNAcentral's name for it is "long non-coding RNA (LSAT_LNC009557)". The record is from RNAcentral. Lineage: Eukaryota; Viridiplantae; Streptophyta; Magnoliopsida; Asterales; Asteraceae.
UUUGCAUGUAUAAUAGAGAAAACAUAGAUCCAAGGUAUUUAGGGUUGCAUGUACACUUAGGAAGUGUUAGAAUGCUCAAAACCCAACAGUGGUAUCAGAGCCACGGGUUGUUUUCUGUUAUAUUGAUGCAAAUAUUUUAUUUUCAAAGUUGAAAAAAAAAAAAAAAAAAAACAUGAAGUUCGUCAAAUUUUAAGAUAAUUACUUGUUCUUGUGAAAAACUAAUUAUUUGUAAAAUUUGAAUAAUUUGCUUUAUGAGUUGAAUUAGGUCAAAUUUAAUAAAAGAUAAAAUAAUAUGAUUAUUUUAUUAGUUUUAAAAGUUUGAUCUAAAGAGUUUUAUUUUUUGAAACCUCCAUAAGUUAUGGAUAUGAAAAGGUUUUAAAAAAAAAAUUAUUCAAAGUUUUUAUGGAGUUACAAAAUUUGGUGUUAAUGUUUUAAAGGAUUCCAUAACUUAAGAAUAAGUUAUGGAUCACCAAAAGUUUUUUGUGUUACCUUGUUUUAUGAGUGAAUUUAGAUUAAUGAAUAAAAUUAUGUGAUAGUUGGUUUUAAUCCAAAUUAAUCUAAGAAUUGAUUCUAAAAUGUGUUUUUGUAACUUGUCCUCAAGUUAUAUGAAAAGUCACAUUUAAGAAUCAUAAAACUCAUAAAAAUUGGCAAAGGUUACAAAAAUGAAGAGUCUAGUUCUAAUUAAAUGGUUUUAUGACUCCAUAACUUGUCCUCAAGUUAUGGAGGACCAAGAGUCUCUUCAUUUAAUAAAAUAAAAUAAAAUAAAAAAAAGGGUAACCUUAAUUAAUUCCAUAAGUUAUAAAAUAAAGAAAAGUUAAUUCUUUUAUUAGUUUAAAGUCUUCCAUAACUUGUCCUCAAGUUAUGGAACUUGAAGAGUUUUUGGAUUAAAACUACUUUAAACACAUAAGUUAUGGAAUUAAUUAGUUUUGAAUAGUUUCAAAACUUGCCCUCAAGUUUUGGAAUUUGUAAAGUUUUCACUUAUGAAUACUUUAAUUCCAAGUUAGCCCUUAGAAUUUUAAAAGUUAAAAUUCAACCCUUAUACUUUAUAAUAUUAUAAGUUAAUAAUAUAUAUAUGUAUAAGAGUAAAGUCAGUCUUACCGCUAGUACGCCUCAUUCACGAAGCCGGUCUAUAAGGUGGGUAUAAGGUUGUUGCCUAUAAAAUGGCAACUUAAUGGGUGUCCACUCUCACCCACCGCUUGCUUGACUGGUGGAGGGUCGUUAGCCGAACGGGUUUGACAGGACUAGAAUUCUCCCUUCAUUAAAAGUAUUAAUGAUAAUACUAAGUAACUAAACUCUUAAUAAUACCCAAUCUUAGUUACUUAGGAAAAAUGUGAAUAAGGUGCUAAUCCAUGAAAUUACACUUUACACUUUGUCUAAGUCGUUAGUGGAGCGUGUGUGGUUAACCGGCACACUAACUUGGACUUAACAAGGUAGGUAAAGGGUGACUUAAUAUUUAUCAUAGUAUCGAUGGAGCGUGUGUGGUUAACCGGCACAUCGAUUGAGGGGUAAUUUAUUAAGGGUACCAAGUGAUUUGCAUGGUUACUUCACACCUUGUUUUGUGAUCCUCGGCAUCCCAGUCACAAAACCUGAAGGGCACACUCGAGAUUGAAACAUGCCUUUGAAAAGUUCAAUGAAUCUCAAAGAUCUAGGAGUUUCAAAACCAAUUAAAACCUAAUAAUACAUUUCGUUUAUCUUGGUGGAAAUUGGUGAAUCGUCAUUCACCUACCUUCAAAUAUUUUAUAGCUUGGAUUACGGCAUACCUCUUCUAAGUUAUAAAAUAGUUUGUUGGGUCCUAGCCUUAAUAUUUCAUAUUGGGUGUCAUAUUAAGGACUUUAAAUCAACUAUCUUGAAUAUCUCCCAAAAGAUGUCUGGUUUAGACACCUAUGAUCUUCCCAAAUCUCUUGAAACAAGGUUUCCUAAUGAAGAUGAUGUCCCAUGGAUAUCAUACUUCUUCACCUCUUCAAAUUAUUCUCCCUAACCCACAAGUUCUUGAAAAGUUUAAGGUCACUCAGGCCCUAUUGGCAAGGCAAGGUCUAGGUGUGGUCACAUCUUGGAGAUGUAGUCACAUAUUGACAAGCCGGGAGAGUUGGGUGUCAAAGUCUUGAGAAAGUUGGUGGUUCAACCACUUUCUAAGUCACAUAGUGAGUUCCUUUGGGACACCUAUGAAACAGACUAUGACAAGACCCUUAAUGAUCUUAUCUAUUUGCUAAGAUCAACUUCCUAAAACUUUAUGGACAUUGACAAUGAUGACAUUGGAUAUCCAGUAAAGCAUUCUCUUCCCAAUGGAAAGGGAUCGGCUAUAGUCAACUCGGUUGACCAAAUGGUAAAGAGAAAAGCUAAGUCUGUGAUAGUCCUGUGUACCAUUAUCAAAGGGUCCAUAUGUUUGUAUUGCCAAAGAAAGGGCAUUGGUUGCGAAGCUGCCAAAUUUACCUAAGGAUGUUAAAGUCAAUAAGUUUGACUCUACUUCAGGUAAAAUCCACUAUCUAACUCUGUUAAGUUUCUAUUCUGAGAUUCUUGAUACAUGAUGUGACCGGGUCGCAUGGUGAUGGUUUAAGAAUCAAAGGAAAGUGAAGAAACUUAAAGGAAGAAUAUGCUGAAUCUGAUCGCAUAGAUGGAUUUCUAUCGCAUAGUUUGAAAAAUCGGAUUCUUGAGCUACUUCUUAGGAGUUAUGAGAUAUUGCUUAGGAAUAGAUAACAACAAGUUUUCAUAUGGAUUGUAAGGAUAGUUUUUCCGCAAAGUUUUAAAAUAAAAGGAAAUUUUUGAUUUUAUUUAUUUUAAAAUAUCCUUACAAUGGCAUCUGUGGAAAUUUUUGUUGCUUAUAAGAUUCCAUUAGUAGCAAGAGUGGAAGUAUGAAAUUGAUUCUUUCAUUUGUGGUAAUGUCUAAAUUUACCAAAUAAGGAAAGAUUCUCAUCACCCAAGUUUCAAUUGGACCGGAACUUGGAAUCAUGCAAGUUGUAUAGCAUGAUGAAUGAGAACUUUCAAGUUUUGGAAAAUUAAGACUAAUUACUUGUUCACAUGGAUGUGUGAGUCAAGUAAAGGACUUAGGGAUCGAGUACACAUUCUUGUGCACUGAUUAAGUCCACCACUAAAGAUCGAUAAGAAGAAUCAAAUAAGGCAGAAGGAUAAAAGUUUCUCAAAUCUGAAAAGAUGGGAGAGUACUUUAGUAUCAGUUUUGUGAUCAUCUUAAUGAUUAAGAAACCAUAUCAAAAUUAGUUCUCUAAGGAAAUCUUAGUGCAUUCUUAUGACUAAGAAGAGGAACUUGAAUUGUUGAAAUGGUUAAAUCAAGAAGAUGAGUCAUACUUCGUUCCAAUACAAGUCUUAGAGUCAUACUCCAAGAUUGUCAUUUGAGUGACAUGUCUUAAAGAAGGUUUAAAACACUUGUCAAAUGUAAGAGUAAAAGUUUUCUACUCUUGUACAUUUGAAAUUGGUAAGUUGUGAUGUUUUGGAUAAAACAAAGACCAACUUAGGCCAAUUGGGUAAAGUGUUUUUCUUGAUUAGAAUCCGCACUAUCUCUUGGAUGUUUGACAAGGGAGUCUUAUAUGUCAAGAGGACAGUGGGAGUCUUAAAGGUCUUGAAAGUCUCAAGAAAUAAUCAAGAAUAAAACCUAAAGUUCUUCACUAGCACACGACUUGAGGUUCAUAACCUAUCGUGUUGACAUAUUCUGUGCCCAUUCCAGUUAAAGUUGGUUUUGCAUAUGAGUUCUUAGAGUUCUCAAUUUGUUGCACAACAACUUGGAAGCAAUGGCAGGCCCUUGAGCUGCCAGGUGGCAAGAAGUUAAGAUUGAGUUCAAUCCAUAUGGUUUUGGAUUUGUCAUUAUCUUUGUCUUGUGAUUAUGGUUUGACAAAUUCAUAUGGGUAGGAACUCAUACACCAUAUAAAUCUAAGUGUCAUAAGGUUUCUCUCCGAUUCAUGAAAAUGAUGGUGAGGAAACGCUUUCACUAAGUAGAUUUUACGAAGAUAUCAAUUGUGUUAUUUGCAUUUUCAAAAGUCGUUAGUGGAGCGCGUGUGGUUAACCGGCACACUAACAUGGACUUGUGAGAAAUGGCAAAUGCCUAAGCAAUUGAGACCAUGAUUACGGUAUCCCUUUUCAUGGUUCUUGAAAUUGCUUAGACACACAGGUGAGCUAUCUACGGAAAGGGUGUAUGAAUCUAAAUUUCAGACUGUCCAGCUGAUUUCUGAGUACAUGUCAAAGCUAGUGGGAGCAUAAGUGUUAUGCUAAUAAUCAUCAUGUUAGUGGGAGCAUGAUAAUUAUGAUAAGUAUUGCAAGUUAGCAAUGUUAAUUAUAGAAAACAAAAGUUUCAAUUGGGAAAAAGUUGUUUUGCUAUAAUUAAGGGAGAGGAAAUUAUGCUUCAUCUCAAAUCUAUAAGCUUAGAUCGUGAGGUUUUAAUCAUUUAGUCAAGGAUAUAUAUGAAUUUCAUGUUGGAAUGGCUCAACAUAAGGAAAUUCUGUAUAUGGGUCCAUUAUUUGCGUUCUAAAAUUCGAUUAUGAUUACGGCAUCCCUUUUCAUAAUCUGAAUUAUGAGAACUUGGCAAAUUGAAAUGGAAAUAUUAUAGCAAAAGACUGGUUUAGUCUUUAUGUAAGACAUCAUGAAUCGUGUCCCAUAUGCUUCGGAUAUAGGAUCGAUUACAUGUGCUAUAUUCAUCCGUUCUAAAAUUUUCCAAAUGCCUGGGGCAUUAAGAAGGGAAAAGGUUUAGAACUGGAUAUGACUAAAAGGAUUAAACAAUUGUCGAGGACAAUCUAAGGUUUACCAAAGAUUGGUUACUCAAGGACAAUUGGAAGUAUAGUGAUAAUUCUGGAAGGACCAUAUUGACAUAAUCUGUAAGGAGGCAACUCUUGUUCAGAAGUGAUAGUCAAAAUGGAAUCUGGAAAUGUUUCAAAGUUAGAAUUUUCAAUCUGUGUAAGAUUAAGGAAACUUAAUGCAAGAAGGAUAUUUCCAAGGAGUUGAUCUCCUUUGGAAUACUCUGUAAUGAUUGUUGCCAAGUCUUUGUGACUUUGUGCAUAAUCAUUACAAGAGGAUCAAUGCAUAUAAGUUUAGAAUCUAACAGAUUUCAGUAAAUGGCAUGAAUUUGGAAUUCUUGCAUUUGCAGUAAGGAUUUGGGAGUGUGAAAAGAGAAUCAUUGAAGUUAUGUUCAAUUGAUCUAGUUCACAAAGUAAAGAUCAUAGACAAACAUAGUAUGCAUACUUGGUGUGUGGCAUGACUAGUGUUUAAGAAAACAUAGUGUACAUGCUUGGAGCAUGGGACAACUAUUGUUUUAAAUUCAAGAAUAAAGUUGAUAGCUGAAACAGUAUACAAUGAAUAAUGUGUAAUCAUAUGGUGAUAAAUAAAAGGUGUUUUAUUUAUGUUCAAAGGGUUGAUACCAUAUUGGAUUCAAUUAUUAUUGUGUUUCAUUUUGCAUGUUUUGACUUCCCGAAUAAACUGGGUUAUUCUUCCGGAAUGACUAAGUUAUUCAAACCAUCCACAGUCGGUCAUAUGUUGGAAGUAGAUAUGAAUUAAGACUGUCAUGGGUUGGCUUGUAGAGGUCUAAGGUGUUGGACAAAGGGCUACAACACUCAUGAGUGCUCAUAAGUUCUGAGUAUUGGAUUCAACCCGCGCUCAUUGGAAUCACUUCAUGGAUUUUAUCACGAGUGAUCAUGAGACGAUAAUAUCUUAUAUUCUUCAAACCUAGAGAUAUGAGUUGUUACUAUGAGUUGAUAGUACAUUGAUUGCACGAAAACGCAUUUGGUAACUCGGUGCUAUAAAACGUGCCUUUGUGUAUGAUUCAACAAGUAGUAGAACAAGCCAUAUGAGUCGAAGUUUAUCCAUUCCUUUUACCUUCGGGAUAAAAGCGAUAUCUGUGGGCCCCUCGAUGAUUUGAUGAUGACAAAUGGAAGUGCUCGGCCGGGCCAGGACUGAUUUGAUUUGUUCAAUUAGUCAGUCGUCAUAAAUCGGAAAUCGGGAAACAACAAAUGGACAGAGAGAAUGAUUAUAAUCCAUGUCUCAGUCCAUAUGAUAUCUAGAAUGGAGGAAUAUAUGAUCCCUUAUCUAAUGGACAAGUCAUUGACAAAGGUCAGAGUUCAUCUACAAGGUCAGAGUUCGACAGAAGCUUUUGAGAGCUACGAUUGCCGGUUGGUUCCUGAAGUCAUACGCAAUAAUAGUUUUAGACUUAUCCAAGUGGGAGACUGUUGGAUUAAUGUCUAAGUCCAUAACUAUAUUUGGUAAGACUUGACCCGACCCGGCAUGGUCCAUUUGGGUUGCAUACCAUCAUGCACUUGAAUGAGAGAAAUAAGACACUUAUGGUUAUUAAUAUAUUAUAAGUUCUAGUAUAUUAAUAAUAAGAAUAAUAAGAUUAUUUAAUUAGUAUUGAUCAAGAAUUAAUCUAGGAUUAAUUAAGUGAUCAAAAGAAGACUAAUUAAAUAUAUGGGUUGAUUGUGUAAAUCAUCCAUACUUGUAUAGUGGGCUAAUGCUCCAUGGAUAAUCAAGUUGGGCUAAAACCCAUAGGAUGGUCCAUGGAUGCUCCAUGGUGUAUUUGUACCCAUGGAUCCAAGGAAAUGGAAAGCCAUGACAAUUAAGAGUUUACCCUAAUUGUGUAACUAUAUAAGCAUCUUAUUAUUGAGGAAAAAUCGGCCACUAGUAGUAUUCAAGAAAGGGCUAGCCGAUUUUGGUGAGUGUAGAAUUCUCUCAAGUCAUUCUAAGUGUUUUGAUGAUUGUGAUUCCAUUUGAGGUGUCACACUUGGGGCACUAAGCACUCAAGCUUCAUGAAGACUUUCUACAUCAAGAGGUAUGUAUUCUAUCUUGUUACAUUAUUGUUUUGUAUGCUAGAUUAGGAUAAUACCUUGGAAGUUCUUAUUUGCAUGUAUAAUAGAGAAAACAUAGAUCCAAGGUAUUUAGGGUUGCAUGUACACUUAGGAAGUGUUAGAAUGCUCAAAACCCAACAUCAUUUUGAUUUAUGCUUUAGAGUUUAUCAAAAUUUGACAGAACAUAUUUGUAUAAUAAUUAUAUUAUUAAUGCAAUGGAUGAUGUUGUUUCUUGUUUACUACUUUACAUUGUUUUGAUACUGUACAUGACGUCCUCCGCCCCAGAAUGUUUCCGCCGUUCUUGGUUUUGGGGUGUGACAGAUUGGUAUCAGAGCAUUGUUUAUAGUGAAUUAAGUAUAUCAACCCAUAAAAGAUAUACUAACUAUAAAUAAAUAAGGGAUUAAAAAUACUCUGACCAAGAGUUUAUACUUUAAAUAUUAAAAUAUUUAAGUAAGUAUACGUGCUGCAUUCAUACUAAAAUCAGUGUCACUAACACAG